CCCCGGGUCCCUUUAACAGAGGACGACGCGGGGACUGGGAAAAUCGGUGCUUGAGGUUGGAGAAGUUUGUUUCCUCCUCCAUGCGAAAGCCAUUACAGGGCUGUCCGGGACGGAGCCCACGCAUGUGUGCACCCAGACGGUCCAACUCCCUUCCCUGCACCCUGGAAAAGUGUGUCCAGCUGUCAGCCUGGAGCCGGCCCAGCCGGAGGAGCGCGUUGCAAGUGCCUUUGAGCAAAGUUUGAUUUCUGGAUUUGCUUUGGGUCCGUCCUGACGUCUAGAAGCUACAGACGGGCCGCUUCCAAGCCAACGAGAUUGCGUGUGAGUUGGGGGCACGCGCACCGUGAGUGACAGCCUCGUCCCAAGUCUCCGUGGCACCUGGGGUCCCCCCAUCAUCUCAGCGAACUGGGUUUAGGCCCUCUCCUGCGUCUCAAGGCUCCUGGGGACCCUGG
RNAcentral lists this long non-coding RNA (449 nucleotides) under Ursus maritimus (polar bear). Its description in RNAcentral is "lncRNA (ENSUMAG00000015880.1)". Lineage: Eukaryota; Metazoa; Chordata; Mammalia; Carnivora; Ursidae. The record is from RNAcentral.